This 492-nucleotide ribosomal RNA is filed under the name uncultured bacterium. Its description in RNAcentral is "partial 16S ribosomal RNA". It matches the Rfam family "Bacterial small subunit ribosomal RNA", at positions 29 to 507 of the family's 1533-position model. The record is from RNAcentral.
AGUGAACGCUGGCGGUAGGCCUAACACAUGCAAGUCGAACGGCAGCACAGUAAGAGCUUGCUCUUACGGGUGGCGAGUGGCGGACGGGUGAGGAAUACAUCGGAAUCUACUUUUUCGUGGGGGAUAACGUAGGGAAACUUACGCUAAUACCGCAUACGACCUACGGGUGAAAGCAGGGGAUCUUCGGACCUUGCGCGAUUGAAUGAGCCGAUGUCGGAUUAGCGAGUUGGCGGGGUAAAGGCCCACCAAGGCGACGAUCCGUAGCUGGUCUGAGAGGAUGAUCAGCCACACUGGAACUGAGACACGGUCCAGACUCCUACGGGAGGCAGCAGUGGGGAAUAUUGGACAAUGGGCGCAAGCCUGAUCCAGCCAUACCGCGUGGGUGAAGAAGGCCUUCGGGUUGUAAAGCCCUUUUGUUGGGAAAGAAAAGCAGCAGGUUAAUACCCCGCUGUUCUGACGGUACCCAAAGAAUAAGCACCGGCUAACUUCGUG